CUGGCUCCGACACACGACUGAGUGUGCCUACACUGGUCCCACAGGUUUUCAGCUGUGGAGUUUGGGAUCUGAGCUUGGAGCCCAUUUGUUUCUGGCAGUUCGGCUCAUAUUUUCCACUUGAAGACAUCGCCUCCCUUCCUUCCAAGCUGGGAGACCAGAAGUCAACAACAGGAGGGUGGAGAGGCUGGAUCUCACAAUCCCCUUGGCUGGGGAGUCCACUGAGGUUCUUGCAUCCUGAAGCAAACCAUGGAGAGCUGGUGGGGACUUCCCUGUCUUGCGUUCCUGUGUUUUCUAAUGCACGCCCGAGAACCCACCAAGAAGCCAAACUCAGAUAUCUACCCAAAG
This 345-nucleotide long non-coding RNA is filed under the name Homo sapiens (human). RNAcentral's name for it is "HSALNT0409349". The record is from RNAcentral. Lineage: Eukaryota; Metazoa; Chordata; Mammalia; Primates; Hominidae.